GGGGAGGGCCGGAUCCUGGGCUGUGUCCCCCGGCGCCUUGUGCUCCAGGGCCUGCACCACUGGAAUCACGCUCCCAGGACCCUGCAGCUCCCU
This 93-nucleotide microRNA precursor is filed under the name Canis lupus familiaris (dog). RNAcentral's name for it is "mir-8799 microRNA precursor family". It matches the Rfam family "mir-8799 microRNA precursor family". The record is from Rfam by way of RNAcentral. Lineage: Eukaryota; Metazoa; Chordata; Mammalia; Carnivora; Canidae.